GAUUAUGGCUCAGAACGAACGCUGGCGGCAGGCCUAACACAUGCAAGUCGAGCGCGCCCUUCGGGGUGAGCGGCGGACGGGUUAGUAACGCGUGGGAACGUACCCUUUGGUAGGGAAUAGCCACUGGAAACGGUGAGUAAUACCCUAUGAGCCCUUCGGGGGAAAGAUUUAUCGCCAAAGGAUCGGCCCGCGUUAGAUUAGGUAGUUGGUGGGGUAAUGGCCUACCAAGCCUACGAUCUAUAGCUGGUUUUAGAGGAUGAUCAGCAACACUGGGACUGAGACACGGCCCAGACUCCUACGGGAGGCAGCAGUGGGGAAUCUUGGACAAUGGGGGCAACCCUGAUCCAAGCCAUGCCGCGUGAGUGAAGAAGGCCUUAGGGUCGUAAAGCUCUUUCGCCUGUGAAGAUAAUGACGGUAGCAGGUAAAGAAACCCUGGCUAACUCCGUGCCAGCAGCUGC
RNAcentral lists this ribosomal RNA (458 nucleotides) under uncultured bacterium. RNAcentral describes it as "bacterial SSU rRNA". It matches the Rfam family "Bacterial small subunit ribosomal RNA", at positions 15 to 518 of the family's 1533-position model. The record is from RNAcentral.